GUAGGUUUGUCGUCAGUAAUGAUUGGGUACCCACUGUCCUCAUACUACUAACUAACUUUUCCCUGUCUCUCCAUUGAACUCUCAUCAUCCAGGCCAUUCAUUCUGCAUUCUCUUUCUGUGUGUGUGUGGGUGUGUAUGUGUGUGUGUGUAUGUAUGUGUGUGUGUGUGCCCCUGCCUGCCUCUGUGUCUGUCUCUCUCUCUCUCUUUCUCUCUGUUAAUGACUCAACCAUUCACCUAGUCACCCAAACUAUAACCUGAAAUUUACACUUAGCUCCUUGCUUCUAAUCUCCCUCUUGCUCUCUAUCACAAGAUCAUUUAUAUUUACUUCCUUAAAAAUACACAUAAGAAAGUCUUUAUUCUCAUUUUGCAGAUGAGGACACUGAACCUCAACAGGUUUAGUAAUUGUCUGCUACUGAAGACUAAGUAAAUGGAAAGGCAGGAUGGGAAUGCCUAGCUAUGUGCUUCUCAUUGUGCCAUGCUGCUUCCUCUAUGUCUUAAGCAGUGUCUCUGGAUGUGAAUUUAAUACAAGAGCUCAGUUAACCUCUACAUGGACUAUGCAUUGUUUGUGGACAAAGGAAACUACUCCUAUAAAUAGGUCUUAAUUCUGAAAGGAGAGCACUUCUACCACAUGACAUGAUGGUUUCAUCGAUCUAAAAGAUAAGACCAUCACCUGGCCUUUUGAGGAAUCCUCAUGUCACUGAAGCAACAGCCAAGGUGAGGUAACUGAUCUCUAUUAAGGGAAAAUACAAUGUUCUCCACAAUGGGACAUGUUGACAACAUAUAGAACCCAAGAGAUUCUCUGAAGUGCUUCCAGUAAUAAAAGUUAAUGUAAAACUAUAGCAACUCAACCAAAAGGACUACUAGGGGCUCAGACUCUUCAAGAACUAAAGUUUGAAUUACACCACUAAGUAAAUAAUAUCAACCUGAGGAGGACCUGCUUGAGAUUAAAGGAAACAUGAGGCUGGGUGCAUUGACUCAUGCCUGUAAUCCCAGACAUUGGGAGGCCAAGGCAGGAAGAUGGCUUGAACACAUGAGUUCAAGACAAGCCUGGGCAACAUGGCAAGACCCCUGUCUCUACAGAAAUUUAAAAAUAUAGCCAGGCAUGGUGGUGCAUGCUUGUGGUGUCAGCAACUCGAGGGACUGGGGGGGAGGAUCGCUUGAAACCAGCAGGUUGCGGUUACAGUGAGCUGUGUUGUUCACACCACUGCACUCUAGCCUGGGCCACAGAGUGAGACUCUAUCGUUAAAAAAAAAAAAAAAAGGAAGCAUAGAAAAGCAGAAGAGGAAAUUGCAACUAUCACCAGAAGCUGAUGAUCUGUUAACAACCAGUCAUAGAAAUGAUGACUGCAGUUACACAUGAUUUAUUCCUCGUCUGUUAUGCAAUAUUUGUGUAUGUUAAUCAGCUGUUUCCUUUUUCGUCUUUCCCUUUCUUAUCCUAUUUUACAUAUAAAGUGGGAUGAUGGCUAUUGUGCAAUUUAGUGUUUAAAUUACAGAAUAUCCAGAGUGACAGCUUUUCUGUUUGUAUGCAAAAUUGUUAAUUAUGUUAGGUAAAAGCACCAUAUUGUUGUGAUUGUUGUUGAAUGAAAUUUAAAUAAGGGUACAAGGGAGGCAAAUGGACACUGUAUAAGCAGCAGGUGAACUAUGUUGACUCUAUGUCUAUUAAUUGCCAGCUCUACCCCUACUCUGUAAUGCUCUUUUCUGAAUAACUGGCAGAAAUGGGAGCCUGAAAACCAUUUUUUCCAGGUUUCAUUGACAGUGGAGUCUGAGAGAAUAUAGUAUAAAAGAAGAGGGAAACCAUUUUAUUUUCUAUUAUUAAUGGUACAUCAAGAUGUGGCAGCAACAUCAGUAGAAGUGUAAUCUCCUGACUUUCUGCUCAGCUGCAAUGGUAUGAAUCCAACUGAAGAAGUAGCAGCAAUGCAUUCAGCAGCAACAGCAGGAUCAUAAACUCCUGCAUUUCCUGCUCAGCUGCAGUGGUGUGGAUCCAGCUGUAAAAGCAGCAGUCAUGCAUUCAGCCGCAGCAGCAGGAAGAUAAACUCCUAACUUUCCUGCUCAGUUGCCCGGAUGCAGUUUCAGCAUCAAUGGCAGCACCUCCAGCAGACAGAGGGCAAGGGCAGCUAGGCUUCAGUCCAGGUUCAAUCGCAGCUUCCAGUGUCUUUAUAACACUCUUCUUUUUUGUGUUCUUUCUGUGUUUCUAAGAGCACUGUAACCAAUUGUCUGCAUUAAAUCCCUCUUUGCUUGAAAUAUUUAGAAUGACCUCUGAUUUCUGGGCUUGGCACUAACUGACAUAGAUAUGAAUCUCUCAUUUAUAUAAUGUGUAAUAAAACUAUUUUCCAAGGUUGUUUGCUCUUUCUAGUCACAAUUUUCCACGCUAGACUGGAAUAUUGUUUGGGAAAUUGGGCUGACCAUCUCACCCAGAGAAACAGUGAUUCACAAUGAAAAAGCAGUCAUGUGAUCUUAGGCAAGUUAAAAUUACCCUUCAGGGUAAGUGUCCUUAAAAGUGAAAUAAUGAAUAUAAGCUUGUCCAAAGAAUUAAAAUAAUUAUGUAAACUGAAGUAUGCAAAUUAUUUGCUUAUGAAAUUAAAUGGUUUAAGAAAAAAA
RNAcentral lists this long non-coding RNA (2597 nucleotides) under Homo sapiens (human). RNAcentral's name for it is "HSALNT0095919". Lineage: Eukaryota; Metazoa; Chordata; Mammalia; Primates; Hominidae. The record is from RNAcentral.